This 78-nucleotide transfer RNA is filed under the name Sphaeroforma arctica JP610. Its description in RNAcentral is "tRNA-Thr". Lineage: Eukaryota; Ichthyosporea; Ichthyophonida. The record is from RNAcentral.
UGGUAACUGGCUUAGUGGUAGACGUACUGGCUGGUAAACCAGUAGGUCUCGGGUUCGAAAUUCGGCCCGGAUUUCUUC